This 576-nucleotide ribosomal RNA is filed under the name uncultured Sphingobacteriales cum 'Crenotrichaceae' bacterium. Its description in RNAcentral is "bacterial SSU rRNA". It matches the Rfam family "Bacterial small subunit ribosomal RNA", at positions 338 to 916 of the family's 1533-position model. Lineage: Bacteria; Pseudomonadati; Bacteroidota; Sphingobacteriia; Sphingobacteriales. The record is from RNAcentral.
CCUACGGGAGGCAGCAGUGAGGAAUCUUGCGCAAUGGGCGAAAGCCUGACGCAGCCACGCCGCGUGCCGGAUGAAGGCCCUAUGGGUUGUAAACGGCUUUUACUAGGGAAGAACGAGAGGGUUUCGAUCUUCUGUGACGGUACCUAGUGAAUAAGCACCGGCUAACUCCGUGCCAGCAGCCGCGGUAAUACGGAGGGUGCAAGCGUUGUCCGGAAUCAUUGGGUGUAAAGGGUACGUAGGCGGGAGCCUAAGUCUGGGGUGAAAUCUUGCCGCUUAACGGUAAAAUGGCCCUGGAUACUGGGUUUCUUGAGUGCAGAAGAGGCAGGUGGAAUUCGUGGUGUAGCGGUGAAAUGCUUAGAUAUCACGAAGAACAUCAGUGGCGAAGGCGGCCUGCUGGUCUGCAACUGACGCUGAGGUACGAAAGCGUGGGGAGCGAACAGGAUUAGAUACCCUGGUAGUCCACGCCGUAUACGAUGCAUACUAGGUGUUGGCCUUAGGGCCAGUGCUGCAGUUAACGCAUUAAGUAUGCCACCUGGGGAGUACGUCGGCAACGAUGAAACUCAAAGGAAUUGACGG